RNAcentral lists this transfer RNA (87 nucleotides) under Pseudodesulfovibrio cashew. RNAcentral describes it as "Pseudodesulfovibrio sp. SRB007 tRNA-Leu". It matches the Rfam family "tRNA". Rfam says of the family: Transfer RNA (tRNA) molecules are approximately 80 nucleotides in length. Lineage: Bacteria; Pseudomonadati; Thermodesulfobacteriota; Desulfovibrionia; Desulfovibrionales; Desulfovibrionaceae. The record is from RNAcentral.
GCCUGGGUGGUGGAAUUGGUAGACACCAGGGACUUAAAAUCCCUUGGAGCUUGCUCCGUGCGGGUUCAAAUCCCGCCCCGGGUACCA